Molecule: ribosomal RNA, 253 nt
Filed under: uncultured bacterium
Lineage: Bacteria
Description: partial 16S ribosomal RNA
Rfam family: Bacterial small subunit ribosomal RNA
Source: RNAcentral
UACAGAGGUCUCAAGCGUUGUUCGGAUUCAUUGGGCGUAAAGGGUGCGUAGGUGGCGCGGUAAGUCGGGUGUGAAAUUUCGGAGCUUAACUCCGAAACUGCAUUCGAUACUGCCGUGCUUGAGGACUGGAGAGGAGACUGGAAUUUACGGUGUAGCAGUGAAAUGCGUAGAUAUCGUAAGGAAGACCAGUGGCGAAGGCGGGUCUCUGGACAGUUCCUGACACUGAGGCACGAAGGCCAGGGGAGCAAACGGG